Molecule: non-coding RNA, 3621 nt
Organism: Rattus norvegicus (Norway rat)
Lineage: Eukaryota; Metazoa; Chordata; Mammalia; Rodentia; Muridae
Source: RefSeq, a predicted model, not a curated record
CCCCAGCCAGCUGCAGAAGACUAAUACAAAUGUGGUGGUAAAGAUGAAUAAUCAUAUGAUAACGUGUAACGUUAAGAUACCCAAUGUCAUGACCUGUAACCUUUCUGAAAAACCAACAUCCUGCUGACUAAUAGAUAUGACAAACCUGUGACCUUUCUGACAACCUGUCAACAUCAGCCAAUUCCCUGACCACAUGAAUAUUGUGUCCUUGGCAUGGGUAAAUGUUUCUUACUUCUCUCCUCUCUCUGUUACCCUUUUUAUGGUACAAAUUCAGCCUUGGGGAAAAAUAAAAUUGUCGCCUUGAUCAGACUCUUGUCGUGGAGUCCUUCGUCACGUCUCUUGUCCCUAAUUGUCUUCCAGGUACUCAGCACCCCUCGUUGACAGUAUGCACUCAUUGAUAAGUGGAAACUGACCAAAAUCUCGAAUUACCCAAGAUGCAAUCUACAGAUCUCAGGAAACUCAAGAAGAAGGAUGACCAAAGUGCAGAUGUUCCCACUCCUUCUUAAAAUGGGGAACAAAAAUAUCCAUAGGAGGGGAUAUGGAGACCAAAUCUAAAGCAGAGACGGAAGGAACAGCCAUUCAGAGUCUGCCCCACAUGUGGCCCAUAUGUAUACAGCCACCAAAACUAGGUUUUGGUAGGAAGGCAUCAUCCCAAAAUGUCAUCAGUAAGCAAGAGGAGUGUCUAAAGGAACUGGAGGAACUCAAAUUUGAAAUCCAGAAGUGUCAAUUCGAGAGGGAUGAACUUUAUCAAAUCCUGGAUCUUUAUAUCUAUGAUGAGUGGGACCACAGGUAGUCAUUAUGCCCAGUAACCUGUUAACUGUCUUGCGCUCUCUCUCUGCUACCUCAAGAUUUCCUCAUAGCACGAGAGAGUUUCACCUCUCAUCCUGGAUUUUAAGGAGAUUUGGCAGGCAUUUGCUUGUGAGAUAAGCUAGGUGCUGUGUGUUUAGGGUCAACCUCUUUUGUACUUGACCCUGAGCCUCUUGGAUUAGCGUUGGUUCUGUCAACAGCUAGAAGGACCUUGUCACACUUGCUGCAACUGUGUGUGUGAAUGAAAUGCCUGCACGUCAUCACUCUUUCCUCUGAAUUUGUUCAUUAUACACUGAUUCUAUGGCACCUCCAUGGAUGUAGUUGGCAUUCUAAAUGUGUUUGGAUAUGGGUUGCUAUGUGUGUAUGUGGAAGUAUAUGUGGUGUUUUACUCUGGAUCAGGACGUCUGGGACCUUUGAUGGGGUCUGAGGAUUUGUUUGAUCAACACUUUGCAGGUCAUGAUGGUGAUGAGUACGUGGAGGCCCACACUGAUCAACAGAGCACUUUACUCCUUCUGUAUACCUUGGUGGCACCCAGGACCCUCCCGAGGGGAGGAGGUGCUAUAAAUCCUCUUCCCUGUCAAACUUAGUUAUGCCCUCUGGGAAUUCACGUAACGAUAGAAACCAAGGAUUGAGUAUACCUGCUUUCAAAACAAGAGAAAUGUCAUCACAGCUUUCUCUUGGGCCCAAAGCUGUGGCACAGACUGGAGGAAUCUUCUUCCUGAACUAGUCAAUUCCAUCAUGCUCACCUGGCCAGCUCUUGAAGGUCAGGUCCCUCCAACUGGUACCGUGGCUCUGUUCUCCUGUGCCCAGGAUAAUAAACUUAACCAGUACAAAUACUUUGAAGGAGAAAGUAUGUGGUACAUACUGAGUUUAAGUAAUAGAGAGAACAGUCUGAUUUUACCUAAUUUGUUUCACCUGCUUUGAUCUUUAGUUUUUUAUUUUUUUAACUACCCAGGGAUUGUUUAUUGUGACCUAGAAAUGGUCACUGUGGUCUUGACAGAUGUUAUUCCCAAACAGGCAGCUCUCAGGCUCUGCCCCCUCCUAUAUAGUGAGUCUUUGCAGAACCAGAUCUCUCAGGAUUCCAAGGAGUCCUUAUUUCAAAACAAAUGUUUGCUUAUUUACAUAGAAAUAUUUUCUGUGGAUUGAGUCUCACUGUUGGGUUUUGGUCUGGUUUUUGACUUUGCCAUUUUCUUCCCUUCCACCAUUCCUUGAAUUUGAAAUUUUUUAUUAUAUAUUUUUAUUUACAUUUCACCUAAUUCUGAAAUCAUGAGUUCAAAACAUUAUUUGUUCCUUUGGCCAUGACCUAACCCAGGCUGCAUGUCGAAUUGCCAGUCCUUCAAUCUGAACAUGAGAUGAGAAUGAUGGCUAUGCAUAUGAUGACCAACUCAAUAAGUGAUACCAUGGAGAGGUACAAGGAGCUCAUACAAGUGAACAGUUCCUACCGCAUCAGGCACUCCCGGUUCCUGCGUGAACAAGCUCAAUUGGAGAACAAUAUACAGAUUUUGCUGAAUGAGAAGAGAGAACUGCUGGUGGAGAAGACUGAACUGCCAGCAUCCUCUGUGGAGGCAAAGAGGCUCUGUGAAGAGGCCGGUAUGAACAUCUGUGACCCCAGAGCCAAGCCACAGCAGGUAGGGUUAGGGCUCAGCGUCAGGGUGUCCUCAGGUCUUACCAUAACCAUAGACAAACCAAUGUAACUGUCUAUUGACUGAUCCAUGUCCUGACCUAGGUCUCAUCCAAGUGUUCAUUCAUGUGAUGGUUUACAAGGCUUUCUGUGGAGAUAGCCCCUUUUCAAGAAACUGCAUGUAUGGAAAGCAAAUGCUCCUGCUCUUCGAGAAUCUGCACUUCAUUAAGGGAGAUAGGUUGAUCACACAGCACAGCACUACAUGCUAUUAUGUAUGGAGGGUGCUAUGUGGGAGCCCUUCUUUAGACUAGAACAGGGCUUUGAGGGAUGAAGCAAAAGCCUGGGGCUCAUUUUCUUUUCAGGGAUCGUGUGAGACUCAGGAAGUAAGUAGUUUUCAAGGAGGAGAGCCUGGUGGAAAUGCCAAAGAAAUGGUUCUCAUUUUCAUUUGUGGUGGCUUUUGUUCUUCCUCCCCUCAUGUCCCUGUAUAUGAAGAUGGUGACUUCAUGCUUCAUAGAUCUUGGGUAACUACAGAGCCUGUAUAUCAGCAUGUCAGUCCUGUCUUAUUUGAGUGCUCCUGGAGAGUUCAUAACUGGGCCUUACAACCUGAAGCUGGUUAGAAGAGCAAAGAUGUGGAAAAGGUUUCUCAAAGGCUGAGGGUUGGCAUGAGAGACUUGAGGCUUCAAGAACAAUGUUAUCCAUAUGUACCCACAAUUCUCACCAAGAAAGGUGCAUUGCUGUGCUGACCUGCAUCUUUGGGAGCAUGCGGGGAGGCCAGUUCAUGACAUGCAGUUUUGUCCAGUCAUUAUCUAACUUAGUCCAUUAAGCCUAGGUCUCUCAACAAACAUGAAGCUUCCUGUUUUGUGCUGGCCAGCAGUCUUUGCAUCAUUCGUCCAGUUCCAAGUGGAGCCCCCUCUUUUAUUUGUCUCAACAUAUUCUUAAACCACUCAACUAUUUUAAAAAUAAGGAUUAGAUUUCUUCACUUUACCUGAACAGAGGUAUCCCCCAGGAAGAUUCUCGAUUGUCUUAUUGGCUUCACCAUGAUCUUGCAUGGAAUCCUAGAGUGCAACCCUCUGCUGACAUUGCUUUGCUGACUAUAUCAUGGGCACUGCAUCCUUUCAGGAUAGAUUCCCUCUCAAUAUUGUACACAGUACUGCAUUUCAGAAAAUUCACUGUAUGUUAUUUAUUUAGCCUUU